AUGUCUGUGGUUAGGUUACAAGGCGGCAGUCCAGAGCAUUUGGGCAGUGGUUUCGUUGCUUACUGCAACGGAUGUUCAUGUCUAGUAAUGACAUCUUACCAUGUUGUUAAAUCAGCCUUCAUUAAUGGUCUUAUGAUUACGGUUAUCUUUCCUGGUGGACAACCGCGCUUUCAAGCCGAUGUACAAAAUUUAUCCGAGCCUGGGGAUCUUGCUAUACUUCAGUUUGAUUGUGAGGGCUAUAUGUUUGAACCUCUGCUGUUCGCUGAAAUAUCUACCAAUCCUGAUUUAUUUCCAUGGACGGUUUAUUUGCAUGGAUAUUACAAUGGUAAACGUGGACAACUUAUCAGACCUUCGACAUUACCUGGCCAAAUUGACGGUAUGUACGUAAAUCAAGAAACUGGUGUUCAUAUGCUUUAUGCAAAUUACACCAGUAACCCUGGAAUGUCUGGUGGACCAAUUAUUAUGGGAGGUAGAGUCUUGGAGUCAACAAAGGGGCUGAGGCAGGAACGAGACUUGCUGUUUCAGUCCUGGGUGUACACCAUGCUAGAGGAUUGGACUGGCGGAGCAGAAACAAUUGCUGAGAUGCUUGAAAUGCUUGAAGAGCUUGACUAUUAA
This 615-nucleotide ribosomal RNA is filed under the name Triticum aestivum (bread wheat). Its description in RNAcentral is "partial small subunit ribosomal RNA". Lineage: Eukaryota; Viridiplantae; Streptophyta; Magnoliopsida; Poales; Poaceae. The record is from RNAcentral.